Molecule: ribosomal RNA, 220 nt
Filed under: uncultured soil bacterium
Lineage: Bacteria
Description: partial 16S ribosomal RNA
Rfam family: Bacterial small subunit ribosomal RNA
Source: RNAcentral
AGAACGAACGCUGGCGGCAUGCCUAACACAUGCAAGUCGAACGAGACCUUCGGGUCUAGUGGCGCACGGGUGCGUAACGCGUGGGAAUCUGCCCUUGGGUACGGAAUAACAGCGAGAAAUUGCUGCUAAUACCGUAUAAUGACUUCGGUCCAAAGAUUUAUCGCCCAGGGAUGAGCCCGCGUAGGAUUAGCUUGUUGGCGGGUAAUAGGCCCACCAGGCG